AUUAUAGAUCAAAAUUGCAAAUUCCUUCAAGUGAAUGCUGGAAACAGAAAGUUGUAUGACUUGGGAGAAACGAGGAGAGAAGUCAGUAAUUAUAUAUUUUUACCAUCACCUAAGUAGAAAAUCAUUUAGUUGAGCACUGUUUAAAUUUCCUGAACAACUUUCCUUAAGCAUUGUUUUGAUAACUUGAUUUCUCGUGCAACCUGGAUUUUUAUUUCCAUUUUAGAAUCCUGAAUCAUUCUGUUGAAGCUCAUCCUCUUCAUCAUAAAUGAUCCGCUUGCUGACUUCUAACAAUGGGAAUAUGCUCGGCUUGUCAGUAUGUUAUUUAAAAGCCGAUUCAUGAAAUUUUUGCUCCAGAUGCCUGAGGGUAUUUCUUGCUCCCAAAGUUCAAGUGAUGAAUCUGUGCUUGUUGUCAAUGUUGAGAUACUAUUUUUCUUCUUCAUAAUGUGAAAUUAUCUUUGUUUUGGCUUUGGUGUCGUCUGUUUUAGCUUGUCUGCACACACAGACUCACACACAUUCAUAAAACAAUGCAGCAAUGUCAUUUUGAAUUAACAGUCACAUUUAUGUAUUUCUUACUGCAAUCUCUCCAAUCUGUAACUAGGAUUUUGGACUUACAUGGACUAUUA
RNAcentral lists this unclassified non-coding RNA (623 nucleotides) under Hevea brasiliensis (rubber tree). The record is from RNAcentral. Lineage: Eukaryota; Viridiplantae; Streptophyta; Magnoliopsida; Malpighiales; Euphorbiaceae.